CUGCAGUGAUGUUUUCUUAGGACACCUUUGGAUUAAUCAUGAAAAUAAUAAGAUUUCUGAGCAGC
Non-coding RNA from Pelobates cultripes (western spadefoot toad), 65 nucleotides. Lineage: Eukaryota; Metazoa; Chordata; Amphibia; Anura; Pelobatidae. The record is from the annotation of a GenBank genome assembly.